CCCUCAUCUACGCAAGACUACCCGCUGAACUUAAGCAUAUCAAUAAGCGGAGGAAAAGAAACCAACAGGGAUUGCCCCAGUAACGGCGAGUGAAGCGGCAAAAGCUCAAAUUUGAAAUCCUUCGGGAGUUGUAAUUUGAAGAUGAUACCUUUGGACAAGUGUAAGUUCGUUGGAAAACGACGCCGAAGAGGGUGACAGCCCCGUCGCAGUAUGUCCAAACACAGGUAUACAUCAACGAGUCGAGUUGUUUGGGAAUGCAGCUCCAAGUGGGUGGUAAACUCCAUCUAAAGCUAAAUAUUGGCGAGAGACCGAUAGCGAACAAGUACAGUGAUGGAAAGAUGAAAAGCACUUUGAAAAGAGAGUGAAAAAGUACGUGAAAUUGUUGGAAGGGAAGGGCUUGGAAGGAGAGUCAGCAUCGGUUGCACAGGGUAGAAAAGUGGGAGAACAUGUAGCGCUUGCGUAUUAUAGUUCUUGCAGAUAUACCCCCGCGCGACCGAGGACCGCUUUACAGGAUGCUGACACAAUCCUUCUAAGCCGCCCGUCUUGA
RNAcentral lists this ribosomal RNA (547 nucleotides) under Hermanozyma ubatubensis. RNAcentral describes it as "LSU rRNA". It matches the Rfam family "Eukaryotic large subunit ribosomal RNA", at positions 1 to 657 of the family's 3401-position model. The record is from RNAcentral. Lineage: Eukaryota; Fungi; Ascomycota; Pichiomycetes; Serinales; Metschnikowiaceae.